UAUCAAAAUGCAUCUUGUUUAUUUGGCUUUUGAAACUGUUAUAACACAACUUAUAACAUUGGAAAUACAUUAUUUUAUUAAUACAAAGUAGUUUUCAUAGUAAAAUACCAAAUUAAUUAAAAGGCAGAAUGAAACGUACCAUAUACAUGUAGACGACAAAUGAAAACUGUCAAAGUAUCCUUCUCUCUAAAAAGCCACAAAUUACGUUCUUUGAAGUAAGUAUUGGGUUUUAUUUCCUAAACUAUACACAUCAAUAUCACCUCCUGAAGCUUUUUACCCAGUUUCACGGUUGGUAUUUCGGACAUGCAAUGUUCCAUGCUGUCAAACUUGGAAUGCCUCGUUUGGAUACAGGGAGACAAAGACUUGGAGACCCAGAAGCCUGAAAGUGGUUCUUGACCGACUUUGUCCACUCAAAUUAAGGCAUCAUGCAGCUGGUCAUCACUUACAUUGCUGGUUGCACGCAGGCACACACACACCAGUGCUCACAGCCAGCACUUGUUAAGAAUGGUUGAGCUGGACCAAAUGGUAUACGUGUCUUUCAUCAAUAUAAACAUGGACUGCAUUCAUCUGGACACGGGCCUUGCGGCCGGGAGGGACCGAGCGGGGAGCAAGGCCUGCGGGGAGGCGCAGGAUGGACGCGUUGGCUGUCAUGAUGUAGGACCUCCUGACCUAGAACCAUGCCCGGCGCAGGGAGAACAACGAGCUUACGGACCGGGUGCGGGGGCUGCUGUGCGAGAAAGCCUACCUGCUGGCCCGGGAGCGUUCGCCGGCCCACCUGGUGGCUUUCCCUGGACGUUUAACGGCGACUCCGCCCGGCCUCCCGACUUUUUGAUGCAGGCGUUCUCUUACAUGACUUUCUUCGAGGCUAGAUUCUCGAAAGACAUCCUGAAGGUGGCUUUCUUAAUUAGCUGCCUCACCGGCUGGCGGAGCAGUUCGUAGUCGCCUACAUCGAGAGGGAGAGCCCCGUCCUGGCUCAGUACUGGGGCUUCGUGGACGCGCUGUAGCGGGUCUUCGCCGUCGUGGGUAGGAAACAGUCGGGCCGGAUCCCCGGUGUCUGGGGAGCGGCUGCCGGCCGGGCCCGCGCGAGCCGCUUCACUCCUACAAGCCCGGCUCACUAGUUCCAAGCUGCUGGACUUUGACCCUCGCUGGGAAGCUUGAUCGCCGCCUGUUCUCGCCAAUCUCUAUGCCUUUGCACUGCCCAGCAACCCGGUCACUGCCCAGGACCUGUUAAAAGUUGAAUGGACCUCCCAGAAUCACGCCGCUGCCACCGCCGUUUCUAGAGACGGCUUUUGGCCACCUUUGAGAAUCAGGGUCAAACUUGGAAGGGCCUGCAUUUGUCACACUUCCUCGGACACUAAUUUGGAUAGUUCAGGCCCAGAGACGGCUUCCCGGGUUAGUGUGCCUGACAACACUGAAGAAAAAUUGUGACAUUUUCCUUCCCCAGAAUUACUUCGUUUUAUACAUUUCACUUCUCUUCUGAAAUCACAGCAAUGCCAGUUUGCGCCUUUUGGUCUGAGGAACGCAGGCCCUGGCCACUACCAGGAAAAAAACCUUCUGGAUUUCAGCUUUGGCAAGCUUCCUCUGUUUCUGAGACACCUCCAUCACCUGGGUUACAAUCCCAUCCAUGAUUUUCCCCAUCUCCAGGCAUUUUUCAUGGAAAGCUCCUCAUGCUUUUUAAUUCCAGUUUAUCCAUUUGUGUGGCUUUAACCUCCACAUCCAGGUCUUUCUGGCUAAACUGCAGUAUAUCCACAAUGGGGCCAAUGGACACAUAAGGGAGGCCCUAUCACAGGAACACGAACACCCGGAGUCGCUAGAAAUCAGAUUCCACCGGCUUUGCUUCAGGCCGACUUCCUAAGGAAGGCAUGGUAGCAUCACAGAUGCUGUUUGUCUCAGUUUCCUGAGAAGCCAGUUUCUUAGAGCUGUCAUUCAAGAGUGGGUCAAAUUUGAGAUAUAAAAACCUUUCUCAAGGUAGACUCUUUGGCCCCUAUGCCUAGUAUGUCAGCUGGGCCUCUGAAGCUCUCCUCUUUGAGGUCCUGGCAGGCUCUGGCCCCUGUUGAGAAGGGGAAGCAGUCAUGUGAACUCAUGUGCUGGAAGAAUCCACUCUACCCCUUCCCUGGCUUCUCUGCUGCAAUUUUUGUCUUUAAACGUAUUUUCAGGUAUCCUUUGCACAUGGCCUGCUAUCAACAAUCCUCUACAAUGAUUCUCAGCAUCACCUAGGGAGCUUAUGUAAAAUCUCAAAUUCCUGGGCCCUAUCCCCAGAGUUUCUUAUCAAGUAAGUCUGCAUUGGGAUCUGAGGAUUUGCAUCUCUAACAAAAAUUCCUAGGCGAUGCUCACACUGUUGGUGUAAGGGUACAGUUUCCUUGAUGGAGAACUAUCAAAGCAGUCAAAGCUAUCAAAAUAAAAAAGAAUUCUGAUUGGGUGCAGUGGCUCACACCUGUCAUUCCAGCACUUUGAGAGGCCAAGGUGGGCAGAUCACAUGAGGCCAGGAGUUCAAGACCAGCCUGGCCAACAUGGCAGAAACCCCAUCUCUACUAAAAAUACCAAAAUUAGCCGGGCAUGGUGGAACACACCUGCAAUCCCAGCUACUCGGGAGGCUGAGGCAAGAGAAUCGCUUGAACCUGGGAGGCAGAAGUUGCAGUGAAACAAGUUGGUGCCAAUGCAUUCCAGCCUGGAUGAUGGAGCGAGACUCUGUCUCAAGAAAAAAAAAACAAAAACAAAAACAGAACUCUGCCUCAUAGCGUCUUUUAAGUUAUACACUGGACCUAUCCUUUCCUCACUGACAGACAUUUUAAAAAUUUUUUGGUAAGGCCUAGUUCAUAUAAAAUGUAAUCCAAGCCAAAAGUUAACAAGAAUAAGGGGAGGAAAGGGGACUCCAAUAGCAGAGAAAGGUAUUUACCUGGGAUAUACACUGCAAGAAAAUCAAAGCUAUAAGAAACGUCCAUGAAUAGUAGCCAUAAGGCAUCAGAGUGAUAAAAUUCCUGUCCCUAGGAGGGAAUAUUGGAGUUUGCCAGAGAAACAGAAUGAGAGAGACAGAGAGGUUUAUUGUAGGAAUUGGCUCAUAUGAUUACGGAGGCUGAGAAGACCCACGAUCUGCCAUCUGCAAGCUGGAGAAUCAGGAAAGCUGGAGGUGUAAUUCAGUCAAGUCCAAUGGCCAGAGAAGCAAGUGUACUGAUAUCCAAGAGCAGGAGAAAAUAGAUGUCCCAGAACAAGCAGAGAGGCUGAUUUUGUCCUUCCUCUGCCUUUUUGUUUCAUAUGGGGCACUGAAUGGACUGAUGCCCAUCCACAUUAGUGAGGGUGGAUCUUCUUUACUCAGUCUACCAGUAGAAAUGUCAAUGACUUCCAGAAACACCCUCACCAACACACGUGGAAAUAAUGUUUUACCAGGUAUCUGGGCAUCCCUUGGUUCACUCAAGUUGACACAAAAUUAACCAUCACAGAAGGAGACUGGCCUUACUCUGAAAUUAGGAAACUAAAGAAGUGACCAGAAUGGAGACUAGGUAGAGACAACUAGUUCUCUACCAAACAUGUACAGUUAUUCGUUGGUAUCUGAAGGGGAUUGGUUCCAGGAACUCUCAGGGAUACCAAAAUCUGCAGGUGCUCAAGUCAUUUAUAUAAAAUAUUACAGUAUUUGCAUAUAACCUUUGCACAUCUUCCAUAUACUUUAAAUCAUCUCUACAUUACUUAUAAUAAUGAAUGUGUAAAUGCUAUGAAAAUAGUUACUACACUAUUGUUUAUUUGUAUUUUUAUUGAAUUGUUUUGGGGUGGGGGGCAGCUGUAUCUUUCUUAGUAAUAGAACCCCUGGUUUUAGCUGGGCACAUGACUGCCCUCAAUAAAGAUUAAAGUACCCCAGCCUUCCUUGAGAUUGUGGCCAUGUGACUGAACUUUAGACAGUGAGAUAUAAGCAGAUAUCUUCUGUGGCAGUGUUAGGAAACUAUUAAAGACAGUAAGAACAUUGC
RNAcentral lists this long non-coding RNA (3956 nucleotides) under Homo sapiens (human). RNAcentral's name for it is "non-protein coding LINC00667:3". The record is from RNAcentral. Lineage: Eukaryota; Metazoa; Chordata; Mammalia; Primates; Hominidae.